Molecule: long non-coding RNA, 2802 nt
Organism: Bos taurus (domestic cattle)
Lineage: Eukaryota; Metazoa; Chordata; Mammalia; Artiodactyla; Bovidae
Source: Ensembl
GGGGGAGCUGUCCUGUGAGGGACACAAGGUCAGUGUCUGCCCUUCAGGUACUUGUGAUCUGAAGGAGGAGAGAAAAAAAUGCACAAGACAGCAGAGUCUCCAGGCCAAAUGAAAGAAUCAACUAGCUUUGUUGGAGUUCAGAGGAAAGACUGCCCUGGAGGCCUCAGAGCUAAGGCUUCCCUGAUGGCUCAGAGGGUAAAGAGUCUGUCUGCAAUGUGGGACACCUGGGUUUGAUCCCUGGGUUGGGAAGAUCCCCUGGAGAAAGAAAUUUCAACCCACUCCAGUAUUCUUGCCUGGAGAAUCCCCAUGGACAGAGGAGCCUGGUGGGCUACAGUCCAUGGGGUCGCGAAGAGACACGACUGAGCAACUUCACAUUCACGUUCACCUGUUCCCAGAGCUGCCAUUUCCUCUCAUCUUCCCCAGCAAGAUUGCAGGUGAAAUACAGUUUCUGAACAGUCAUACGACCUCUGGCAAGUCUAUAGGAAGCAAACAUCCUUUGGGCUUGGAUCCAGGGCCUGAAAUAGGCUGAAGUUGGCUCAGAAUCGACUGAGGAACAGGAAGUCAAAAGCCCAGGAGAGAAAUCACUGUGGAAGAAAAAUACAUCUGUGGAAAGUAAUCUACUCUAAUAAAUACUAACUGGAAGAGAAAAAAGAAUAUAAGUCACUAUGAAUUAGCAUCACUCUCAUUCUGUAUGUGUGUAUAUAAACUAUCAUAUAUAGAACAUUUUAAAAAUUCAAAAUCUUAACAGUGGUAUCUCUGAGAGAAGGAAUUAUAGAUAAUUUUAUUUUCUUUACUAUAAUUUUCAAUAUUUAAAAAAAUUUACAGUGAUCCUAUAAUCAGAGAAAAAUAAACAUUUCCAUUUUUUAAAAAGCAGAUUGCUUUCCAUAUGUCCCAGUGUCAUCGGUUGAGCAGGUGGGAGCUGAGGGGGCUGGGUUCUGAUUGCUAGAUUCUAAGAAGGUGUAUUAGUGAGUUCAGGCAGCCACAACAAAAUACCAUAGACUGAAUGGCUUAAACAACAGAAAUUUAUUUUCUCAUUGUUCUAGAGGCUGGAAGCAUAAGAUCUGGGUGCCAACAUGGUCAAUUUCUGAUGAAAGCUCCCUUUCUGGCUUGUAGACAACCACCUUUUCAUCAUGUCUUAACUUGAAUGGCCUUUCCUCAGCAGAGGGAGAGAGAGAGAGAGGGUGAGCUCUCUGGUGUCUCUUCUUAAAGGGACACUAAUCCUACUGGGUCAGGACCCCACCCUUACAAUUUCAUUUAACCUUAAUUAUUUCCUUACUCCAAUUACAGCUACACAGGGCUGGGGGUGGGGUGCAUCCAAGGCUUCAACAUAUGAAUUUUCAGUUCAGUUCAGUUCAGUUCAGUCGCUCAGUCGUGUCUGACUCUUUGCGACCCCAUGAAUCACAGCACGCCAGGCCUCCCUGUCCAUCACCAACUCCUGGAGUUUGUUCAAACUCAUGUCCAUCAAGUCGGUGAUGCCAUCCAGCCAUCUCAUCCUCUGUCGCCCCCUUCUCCUCCUGCCCCCAAUCCCUCCCAGCAUCAGAGUCUUUUCCAAUGAGUCAACUCUUCAAAGAGCAUCAGGUGGCCAAAGUACUGGAGUUUCAGCCUUAGCAUCACUCCUUCCAAUGAACACCGAGGACUGAUCUCCUUUAGAAUGGACUGGUUGGAUCUCCUUGCAGUCCAAGGGACUCUCAAGAGUCUUCUCCAACACCACAGUUCAAAAGCAUCAAUUCUUCGGCGCUCAGCUUUCUUCACAGUCCAACUCUCACAUCCAUACAUGACCACUGGAAAAACCACAGCCUUGAUUAGAUGAAACUUUGUUAGCAAAGUAACGUCUCUGCUUUUGAAUAUGCUAUUUAGGUUGGUCAUAACUUUCCUUCCAAGGAGUAAGCAUCUUUUAAUUUCAUGGCUGUAAUCACCAUCUGCAGUGAUUUUGGAGCCCAAAAAAAUAAAGUUGGACACUGUUUCCCCAUCUAUUUCCCAUGAAGUGAUGGGACCAGAUGCCAUGAUCUUAGUUUUCUGAAGGUUGAGCUUUAAGCAACUUUUUCACUCUCCUCUUUCACUUUCAUCAAGAGGCUUUUUAGUUCCUCUUCACUUUCUGCCAUAUGAAUUUUAGGGGAACACAAAUAUUCAGUACGUUGGGAUGUCUAGGGCUUCAACAUAUGAAUUUCAGGGGGACACAAAUAUUCAGUCCAAAACAGAGGAAAAGAGAAGGAAUCUGCAUAACUACCAAAAGCCAGGAAGUUUAACACAUUAUCUUAUGAAAUUCUCACAACAACCUUGGAAGAUAGAUGUUGUUGAUACCAUGCAGGGCCCUGUAGGGCUCCUGGCACAAGUCUUUCUGUGUUCCCCAUUUCUUUGAUUAUAGGAAACAGCCUUCAUCCAGCCUCCAUGACCUUCCCUGAGUUCAACAGGCAGACUCAAGCAGUUGCUAAUUAGGGAAGGGAGAGGAUGAGAGACCAGGGAGAAACAAAGCAGCCUUGGGUCAAGGUCCUGUUUUCCCAUCAAUGGAUACACACAGCAAUAUCUUUGAGCUGUUUUGCAGAUACUGAAACCCCCACCAGGUGGGAGAAGUUAAUGAUUAAUGAUGGUAUGCUGCCCACAAGAAUGUAGACCCCAGACCAGUUGGACCUGAAGGUUAAUGAUGCUGACUUCUACUUACCUCACCACUAACCCAUCAGAAGAAAGUUCACGAGCUGAUCAUACCCUCUUUGAACAAUUACUAUAAAACUUCUCAUUAUCUUUCCCAAGUGGGAACACAUGGUUUUGAGGGGCAUUAGCCCACUGUGUCCCCCUCUGCCUGGC